CCUACGGGUGGCAGCAGUGAGGAAUAUUGGUCAAUGGACGAGAGUCUGAACCAGCCAAGUAGCGUGAAGGAUGACUGCCCUAUGGGUUGUAAACUUCUUUUAUAUGGGAAUAAAAUGUUCCACGUGUGGGAUUUUGUAUGUACCAUAUGAAUAAGGAUCGGCUAACUCCGUGCCAGCAGCCGCGGUAAUACGGAGGAGCCGAGCGUUAUCCGGAUUUAUUGGGUUUAAAGGGAGCGUAGGUGGAUUGUUAAGUCAGUUGUGAAAGUUUGCGGCUCAACCGUAGAAUUGCAGUUGAAACUGGCAGUCUUGAGUACAGUAGAGGUGAGCGGAAUUCGUGGUGUAGCGGUGAAAUGCUUAGAUAUCACGAAGAACUCCGAUUGCGAAGGCAGUUCACUGGACUGCAACUGACGCUGAGGCUCGAAAGUGUGGGUAUCAAACAGGAUUAGAUACCCCUGUAGUC
Molecule: ribosomal RNA, 460 nt
Filed under: uncultured bacterium
Lineage: Bacteria
Description: partial 16S ribosomal RNA
Rfam family: Bacterial small subunit ribosomal RNA
Source: RNAcentral